Molecule: non-coding RNA, 310 nt
Organism: Cinara cedri
Lineage: Eukaryota; Metazoa; Arthropoda; Insecta; Hemiptera; Aphididae
Source: the annotation of a GenBank genome assembly
UUUAAAAUGUUACACACCAUUAUUUUUGGAAGGUGAAACGAUUACCUACCCUUUAUUUUCCAACGACAACCUUAUAUUAAAUAUUCUACGAAUAGACGGAGUAUUAGUUUAAAUAAAUGUUGGUUUUGAAAUGUUUAAUACUAUUCUCCUCUGCAGCUAUCCAAACUGUGGAAUACCUGGACAACAUCGGAAAAAAGUUAAUGCUUUCCGAGAUAUCGUAACGGGUAUAUGUUCCCGUAUAUUAAGUAUAGGUAUUAUUAUAAUGUUGAGGAAUAUGGACAAACGUUUUCCAGUUUAUUUCGUGCAAUAU